RNAcentral lists this unclassified non-coding RNA (292 nucleotides) under Hevea brasiliensis (rubber tree). The record is from RNAcentral. Lineage: Eukaryota; Viridiplantae; Streptophyta; Magnoliopsida; Malpighiales; Euphorbiaceae.
UGAAGUUACUGAGCCUGCCACUUUCACUGUUAAGGAAGAUAACAAUCUUUCACUCAUUGAAUAUGAACUCGUGAAUGUCGUGGAAGAGUGAAUUUUGUGAUCGUAUUCAUUUUCCUGCUGCAACCUGACCAUAAAAUAAAACAAUCAAGCUACAAAAUCACAAGUUUCCGUUGGGGUACUGAAAAUGCUCGCAAAAGUUCAUUAUUAGGGAAUAGAAUUCUGGAGGCCAGUAGUACGAAAGUUGAUUUUCAUCCCUGCAGCCUAUUGGUGGAACCGUUGUUGGGAUCUACAA